UACGUAGGGCGCAAGCGUUAUCCGGAAUUAUUGGGCGUAAAGAGCUCGUAGGCGGUUUGUCACGUCGGAUGUGAAACCCCGGGGCUCAACCCCGGGCCUGCAUUCGAUACGGGCAGACUAGAGUGUGGUAGGGGAGAUCGGAAUUCCUGGUGUAGCGGUGAAAUGCGCAGAUAUCAGGAGGAACACCGGUGGCGAAGGCGGAUCUCUGGGCCAUUACUGACGCUGAGGAGCGAAAGCGUGGGGAGCGAACAGG
Molecule: ribosomal RNA, 253 nt
Filed under: uncultured bacterium
Lineage: Bacteria
Description: partial 16S ribosomal RNA
Rfam family: Bacterial small subunit ribosomal RNA
Source: RNAcentral